This 70-nucleotide transfer RNA is filed under the name Plagiopholis styani. Its description in RNAcentral is "tRNA-Gln". It matches the Rfam family "tRNA". Rfam says of the family: Transfer RNA (tRNA) molecules are approximately 80 nucleotides in length. Lineage: Eukaryota; Metazoa; Chordata; Lepidosauria; Squamata; Colubridae. The record is from RNAcentral.
UAGAGAGUAGUAUAAAGUAGUACUAAGAGUUUUGGGUUCUUAAGUUCAAGUUCGAUUCUUGACUUUCUAG